UACGUAGGGUGCGAGCGUUGUCCGGAAUUACUGGGCGUAAAGCGCUCGUAGGUGGUUUGUCGCGUUGUUCGUGAAAACUCACAGCUCAACUGUGGGCGUGCGGGCGAUACGGGCAGACUUGAGUACUGCAGGGGAGACUGGAAUUCCUGGUGUAGCGGUGGAAUGCGCAGAUAUCAGGAGGAACACCGGUGGCGAAGGCGGGUCUCUGGGCAGUAACUGACGCUGAGGAGCGAAAGCGUGGGGAGCGAACAGG
Molecule: ribosomal RNA, 253 nt
Filed under: uncultured bacterium
Lineage: Bacteria
Description: partial 16S ribosomal RNA
Rfam family: Bacterial small subunit ribosomal RNA
Source: RNAcentral